UCAGGGGGUAUGAAGGUUGCUGAAACAUGAGGGAAGGUCAAGAUUAGUUGGUUGUUGACUAAGCAUCCAUCCAGCUUCUUCGCUACUGGAGACAAGAGCUGUUUAUUUGACUAGGUAUGUGUGGGGCCUUGAUAACGUAGGUCAAACACCCCGAGCUGAAGAAGACAGUCACGGAAUUCAUAGAUGUUAGCCAAACUGGAGUUAUCUGAAUGUUAUAUGCUCGGAUGGGUGUAGAAUCUGAUUAAAAUCUCCUCCUAUGAACCAUGGCUUGGCAUCGAGAUCAAGAGUUGUAUGGAGGUUGAUAAGCUCUACCUAGCGAUCAAUUAUUUCAUCGCUUAAGUUGGAUGCAUAGACUGCUGUGAAGAUGAAAGGCGAGCAGUUGGGUAAAGAGAUCUCACACGUUACUAUCUGAUGAGUCUGCGAAAGGACACGAAGCUUUAGCGGAUCCUUCCAAAUCAGAAUUAUUCUUCCAUCAUCAUCAGAGAGGUGAUUUUAUUGAAAAUGCCAUCCUCCGCAAAGAGUAGACAUCAAAUGCGCCGACGAGAAUUCUUUGAUAUGUGUUUCCAAGAUUGCACCAAAAAGAGGUUUAUGGCUAUUAAGCCAAUUAAUAAAAGUCCGAUGUUUGUCCGGAUCAUUCAGACCGUGAAAUUUCCCAAAAAAGAAUUUGACACUCAUUGGGAAAAAAAUGGAGGAUCCCCAGCAGGCUGGAGAGAAGUAUCAGUAGUGAGGACCGAAAAAGGGUUGAAGGUAACAUGAGAAAAGUUAGGGGAAGCAGCCAAAAAAGUACCUAACCCUUCAUGAAGGAAAGGUGAAAUAGGGAUUGGGGUGGUAGCUAGGGUAUUAGUAACAAUGGUCUGGGAUGGGGAGAGAGUCGGAGAAGAUCGACAUCUCUUCAAGGAAGGUUUUAAAGGUUUGUCAGAAGGACUUUGUGGAAGGGAAGAUAUUUGAGAAGGUCCAGGCGGAGGGUUUUGGUUGUGGAAAUAGGAGACAAAAAAGAGGUUUUUGGGUGGAGAGAAGUGUUUUUAUGGAUAUGGUUUGGUGGGUUUUAUUUAUGAGUGACAUGAGUUUUUAGGAUAAGUGAAGGACCCGAUUUGGAAGGAGAAGUUGUGGCAGUAGAGGAGGAAGAGGAAGGUAGUUUCUUUUUCACUACAUAUUGGUUGUUGCCGGGAGUAUCAGUAACAGUUUUUUUCCUUUUCAGGGGUCUCUGUCGAUUUCCCUUUAUGUUUGUUUCCAAUGAUAAGGGCCUGAGGAACCGGGAGAGGGAUCUUUAAGCAAUUACGCGCUAUA
RNAcentral lists this long non-coding RNA (1287 nucleotides) under Brassica napus (rape). Its description in RNAcentral is "long non-coding RNA (BNAP_LNC024772)". The record is from RNAcentral. Lineage: Eukaryota; Viridiplantae; Streptophyta; Magnoliopsida; Brassicales; Brassicaceae.